RNAcentral lists this ribosomal RNA (492 nucleotides) under uncultured bacterium. RNAcentral's name for it is "partial 16S ribosomal RNA". It matches the Rfam family "Bacterial small subunit ribosomal RNA", at positions 29 to 507 of the family's 1533-position model. The record is from RNAcentral.
AGUGAACGCUGGCGGUAGGCCUAACACAUGCAAGUCGAACGGCAGCACAGUAAGAGCUUGCUCUUACGGGUGGCGAGUGGCGGACGGGUGAGGCAUACAUCGGAAUCUACUUUUUCGUGGGGGAUAACGUAGGGAAACUUACGCUAAUACCGCAUACGACCUACGGGUGAAAGCAGGGGAUCUUCGGACCUUGCGCGAUUGAAUGAGCCGAUGUCGGAUUAGCUAGUUGGCGGGGUAAAGGCCCACCAAGGCGACGAUCCGUAGCUGGUCUGAGAGGAUGAUCAGCCACACUGGAACUGAGACACGGUCCAGACUCCUACGGGAGGCAGCAGUAGGGAAUAUUGGACAAUGGGCGCAAGCCUGAUCCAGCCAUACCGCGUGAGUGAAGAAGGCCUUCGGGUUGUAAAGCCCUUUUGUUGGGAAAGAAAAGCAGCAGGUUAAUACCCCGCUGUUCUGACGGUACCCAAAGAAUAAGCACCGGCUAACUUCGUG